Molecule: long non-coding RNA, 484 nt
Organism: Carassius carassius (crucian carp)
Lineage: Eukaryota; Metazoa; Chordata; Actinopteri; Cypriniformes; Cyprinidae
Exons: 3
Source: RefSeq, a predicted model, not a curated record
UUGACAAGCAGUCUGUUGAACUUGUCUCACCAAGUGCUCAUGAGGGAUCAGCCUGUUGGCUGAGACAAAUCUAAUAGUGGUGACAACAACCUGCAUCAUACAAGUCAGAUAUUGUAUCUGCACAAACACGGCAGUCACUUAAGCCAAGCGGAGACGCCUCUGGAUAAAGAGGAAUCCACGUAGGCCUGCCGAGACUCGACACAAGCCUCAUAAGUAGCUGCUGAGUUGAUCUUAGAGCAGCUCAUUGGAGUCUAAAUCCAGAGACUGCGAUGGCCAUUCCAGCAUGGUUGUUUCUUCACAGCCUGAAGGGUGUCACUCACUCAUUCACUGACUCUGUAAACAGCAAAAAAGCCCCUGACCAUCACGCUUCCACUUCCAUGUUUGACUCGUUCCUCCUCCAUCCUUUCACCUACUCAAUACCCUACAAAAAAUUUCACAUUUUGCCUCAUCUGUCAAGAUCUUCCACCUGCAGCAGUCCACUGAC